AGGUGCCGCCCCUCCUCCAGCUCGGGGUACUCCCUGACUAGCAGUGAACCUGAAAGGAUGGAGGCCCUGUGCGGGCAAUGGCUCUGCCCAGAUUUUUAACCACCAGACUGAACGCAGUGCCUGGAAUACAGCUGGCAGGUACCGGAGAAUGUCAGUCACACCCCAGACCUGCACAGCUCCCCCAGACUUCUGUCUGUGCCUGAGAGCUUCAUAUCCCCA
This is a long non-coding RNA of Suricata suricatta (meerkat), 219 nucleotides long. RefSeq lists it as uncharacterized. The transcript has 3 exons. NCBI's taxonomy places the organism in Eukaryota, Metazoa, Chordata, Mammalia, Carnivora, Herpestidae. The record is from RefSeq and is a predicted model, not a curated record.